RNAcentral lists this ribosomal RNA (865 nucleotides) under uncultured Neocallimastigales. RNAcentral describes it as "partial large subunit ribosomal RNA". It matches the Rfam family "Eukaryotic large subunit ribosomal RNA", at positions 24 to 634 of the family's 3401-position model. Lineage: Eukaryota; Fungi; Neocallimastigomycota; Neocallimastigomycetes; Neocallimastigales. The record is from RNAcentral.
GUAGUCUCGCACAGAUGCAUAUCAAUAAGCGGAGGAAAAGAAACUAACAAGGAUUCCCUUAGUAACGGCGAGUGAAGCGGGAAGAGCUCAAAUUUGAAAUCUUCAAGGUUUUACCUUGACGAAUUGUAGUUUAAAGAAGUGUUUUCUGUUGAAGUUUUGGUAAAAGUUCUUUGGAAUAGGACAUCAUAGAGGGUGAGAAUCCCGUAUUUGACCAUUAUUUUCAGCUGUGUGAUACACUUUCAAAGAGUCGGAUUGUUUGGGAAUGCAGUCCAAAAUGGGUGGUAAAUUUCAUCUAAAGCUAAAUAUUGGCGAGAGACCGAUAGCGAACAAGUACCGUGAGGGAAAGAUGAAAAGAACUUUGAAAAGAGAGUUAAACAGUACGUGAAAUUGUCAAAAGGGAAGCGUUUGACACCAGAGUUGUUUUUCUGAAAAUCAAUUAAAGAACUGUUUAUGCUAAGUUGUUUAGACUUUAUCAGCUAUCUGUUUAGUUUUGAGCUUUUCUUUAAUGCACUUUUCAGUUAACAAGUCAACAUCAAUUUCUUUUGCUGUAAAAAAGCUUGAGGAAGGUGGCUUGAGAUUCGUCUUAAGUGUUUAUAGCCUCUUGCCUAUGCAGUCGGAGAGACUGAGGUCUGCAGCGUAGAUCCUUCGGGGUUAGAUACAUUUGUGCUAAGUUAUAGCUUUUUAUAGACAACUUGUUGACUAUGAUUAGUCUCGUAGCUUACUCGCUUAUGCUAUUUUACCUACGCUUAGGAUGUUGAUGUGAUACUGCGAGCGCGUAGUCUCGCACAGAUGCAUAUCAAUAAGCGGAGGAAAAGGGAAGGGCCCUAGUACCUACGCUUAGGAUGUUGAUGUGAUACUGCGAGCA